UUCGGUUGUUUGCUUGGCUCUUUAGCCUUGUAGGUGGCCGUUUCCAGAGGCGGCUUCGGGAAUGUCUAUCGUAAAGGUGCAUGAGUGGUGUUUGGUUUGAUAUGGGUGGCUGGCUCCCUGCUUGAGCAGGCACGGCCACGCGUACAUUCCUUUUCAGUUGUGCGGCAAGGCUUGUAUCGUCUUGAUCGUAUAUGUGGGUUUCCUGUGUUGCAUACCUGAUCAAUGGCAUCGUUUUGAUCAAAAGCAUACAAUUUUCGUCAGGCUUUGCACUCGCAACGUCAGAUGAACCGUGUACCAUCCUCUUUGAUCCAUAUAAUCGAUGACAAUUCGUUGAUUGUUUGGCCCGUUGAGGGUGGCUUGGUCUCUCGGAUAUGGAAGCCAAAGUGGGCAUGGGUUCUUAUGUUCCUUUUAUUGCCCUCGUUAAGCUUUAUCGCUUCUCUUACACGACUGCCUUUCACGUAUGGCAUGUCCCAGCGUGUUUGGCUAUGUCGAAGAGGAA
This 499-nucleotide unclassified non-coding RNA is filed under the name Dichrocephala auriculata. RNAcentral's name for it is "partial external transcribed spacer". The record is from RNAcentral. Lineage: Eukaryota; Viridiplantae; Streptophyta; Magnoliopsida; Asterales; Asteraceae.